Molecule: transfer RNA, 72 nt
Filed under: Camelus bactrianus (Bactrian camel)
Lineage: Eukaryota; Metazoa; Chordata; Mammalia; Artiodactyla; Camelidae
Also listed under: 2 other names
Rfam family: tRNA
About the family: Transfer RNA (tRNA) molecules are approximately 80 nucleotides in length. Their secondary structure includes four short double-helical elements and three loops (D, anti-codon, and T loops). Further hydrogen bonds mediate the characteristic L-shaped molecular structure. tRNAs have two regions of fundamental functional importance: the anti-codon, which is responsible for specific mRNA codon recognition, and the 3' end, to which the tRNAs corresponding amino acid is attached (by aminoacyl-tRNA synthetases). tRNAs cope with the degeneracy of the genetic code in two manners: having more than one tRNA (with a specific anti-codon) for a particular amino acid; and 'wobble' base-pairing, i.e. permitting non-standard base-pairing at the 3rd anti-codon position.
Source: Rfam by way of RNAcentral
GUAGGUAUAGCUCAGUGGUAGAGUGCAUGCUUAGCAUGCAUGAGGUUCUGGGUUCGAUCCCCAGUCCCUCCA